RNAcentral lists this ribosomal RNA (484 nucleotides) under uncultured bacterium. RNAcentral describes it as "bacterial SSU rRNA". It matches the Rfam family "Bacterial small subunit ribosomal RNA", at positions 57 to 524 of the family's 1533-position model. The record is from RNAcentral.
GCAGUCGAGCGGACCGAAGGGAGCUUGCUCUUUUAGGUUAGCGGCGGACGGGUGAGUAACACGUGGGCAACCUGCCCUGCAGACUGGGAUAACUUCGGGAAACCGGAGCUAAUACCGGAUAACACCGAAAACCGCAUGGUUUUCGGUUGAAAGGCGGCAUUAGCUGUCACUGCAGGAUGGGCCCGCGGCGCAUUAGCUAGUUGGUGAGGUAACGGCUCACCAAGGCGACGAUGCGUAGCCGACCUGAGAGGGUGACCGGCCACACUGGGACUGAGACACGGCCCAGACUCCUACGGGAGGCAGCAGUAGGGAAUCUUCCGCAAUGGACGAAAGUCUGACGGAGCAACGCCGCGUGAGCGAAGAAGGUCUUCGGAUCGUAAAGCUCUGUUGUCAGGGAAGAACAAGUGCCGUUCGAACAGGGCGGUACCUUGACGGUACCUGACGAGGAAGCCACGGCUAACUACGUGCCAGCAGCCGCGGUAAU